AGCUGCAGCCAAUCAGAGGCAAUCAAGCACACAAGAGGCCUGAUGGGCCACACAGGCGCACCCACAGGCACCAGAGCUGCCCCUCAGCCAGGCUCCGGAAGCCUCCUCCUCCCUCUUGUGUCUGAGCACUGGGGAGGGGGCUAGGAACCGAGUCCAGGAGGCCUCAGGAAAAGAAGGGGAAGGGACCGAGCCGGACUCCACAGCAUUUGCUUGGCACCCGCUGUGUACGCAGAGUGCCGGAGAAGUUGGGCGUUGAUGGGGGAGACUCGGGCAGAGGACGCGCACCCUCCCUGGCCCACUCACAGGCCCCUGGAGGGGCCCCCACAACAGCCCCCCAGCCACCCCCAACCUGGCCUCCAGCAUCUCUCUCUGCCGAGUCCUUGCCUCUCCCCCGAGGAGAGCGGAGCCUCCAAUCAGGGCCUGGGAAAGCAAUUUUUCAAUCUCCAACUGCAAACACUAAUACCGCUGAAGCUAAUUUUACAGAUUUCCACUUCGAGGCCUUGCCUUUGUCCCAGAAUCCCUCAGCCCGGGAGAUUAGCAGUUUAGAGACUGGAAAAAAUAAGGGAGACGUCAAAGCCGCCAGGACCAGUCAAAGUAAUAUGCCUGCGACCGGCACAUGGACUUUUAUUUCUUCUCCCUCCACGCUCCAGAGCUGCUCCUGCGGCGUGGAGAGAUAAAUAUUUUAAAUAGCGACACUUUGGCGAUGCACGGUUAUGCAAGACAAGGAAUAAUUAGAAAAUAAAUUACUUUUUUUAAA
This 757-nucleotide long non-coding RNA is filed under the name Homo sapiens (human). RNAcentral describes it as "HSALNT0311786". Lineage: Eukaryota; Metazoa; Chordata; Mammalia; Primates; Hominidae. The record is from RNAcentral.